GCGAAGUGCCGGGCAGCGGAGGUGGUAAGACGGAGGGUGCAAGCGUUACGCGGAAUGACUUGGCGUAAAGGACUCGUAGGCUGGUUAGCAAGUCAGGUGUGAAAUCCUAUGGCGCAACCAUAGAACUGCACGUGAAACUGCUAGACUAGAGUAUGGAAGGGGCAGAUGGAAGUAGUGGUGUAGGGGUAAAAUCCGUAGAUAUCACUAGGAAUACCGAAAGCGAAGGCGAUCUGCUGGGACAUUACUGACGCUGAGGCGCGAAAGCGUGGGGAGCAAACAGGAUUAGAUACCCUGGUAGUC
Molecule: ribosomal RNA, 300 nt
Filed under: uncultured Campylobacter sp.
Lineage: Bacteria; Pseudomonadati; Campylobacterota; Epsilonproteobacteria; Campylobacterales; Campylobacteraceae
Description: bacterial SSU rRNA
Rfam family: Bacterial small subunit ribosomal RNA
Source: RNAcentral